This 301-nucleotide ribosomal RNA is filed under the name uncultured bacterium. Its description in RNAcentral is "partial 16S ribosomal RNA". It matches the Rfam family "Bacterial small subunit ribosomal RNA", at positions 509 to 807 of the family's 1533-position model. The record is from RNAcentral.
CAGCCGCCGCGGUAAUACGAGGGGUGCAAGCGUUAUUCGGAUUGAUUGGGUGUAAAGGGUGUGCAGACGGCUUAUUAAGUCACUUGUUAAAUUCUUCGGCCUAACUGAAGGUCUGCAAGUGAUACUGAUGAGCUAGAGGGUGGAAGAGAGAAGUGGAAUUCUCGGAGUAGCGGUAAAAUGCGUAGAUCUCGAGAGGAACACCAAUGGCGAAGGCAGCUUCUUGGUCCAUUCCUGACGUUCAUACACGAAAGCGUGGGGAGCAAACAGGAUUAGAUACCCCCGUAGUCCCUGUCUCUUAUAC